GCGUUGUCCGGAAUUAUUGGGCGUAAAGCGCGCGCAGGCGGUCAUUUAAGUCUGGUGUUUAAUCCCGGGGCUCAACCCCGGAUCGCACUGGAAACUGGGUGACUUGAGUGCAGAAGAGGAGAGUGGAAUUCCACGUGUAGCGGUGAAAUGCGUAGAUAUGUGGAGGAACACCAGUGGCGAAGGCGACUCUCUGGGCUGUAACUGACGCUGAGGCGCGAAAGCGUGG
RNAcentral lists this ribosomal RNA (226 nucleotides) under uncultured bacterium. RNAcentral's name for it is "partial 16S ribosomal RNA". It matches the Rfam family "Bacterial small subunit ribosomal RNA", at positions 538 to 764 of the family's 1533-position model. The record is from RNAcentral.